RNAcentral lists this ribosomal RNA (245 nucleotides) under uncultured bacterium. RNAcentral's name for it is "partial small subunit ribosomal RNA". It matches the Rfam family "Bacterial small subunit ribosomal RNA", at positions 26 to 285 of the family's 1533-position model. The record is from RNAcentral.
AGAAUCAACGCUGGCGGCGUGCCUAACACAUGCAAGUCGCACGAGAAAGGGGAGCAAUCCCUGAGUAAAGUGGCGCACGGGUGAGUAACACGUGACUAACCUACCUUUUAGUGGGGGAUAACCUAGGGAAACCUGGGCUAAUACCGCAUAAUACCUACGGGUCAAAGCAGCAAUGCGCUGGAAGAGGGGGUCGCGGUCGAUUAGUUAGUUGGCGGGGUAAUGGCCUACCAAGACUGUGAUCGAUA